AACUUUCAACAACGGAUCUCUUGGUUCUCGCAUCGAUGAAGAACGCAGCGAAAUGCGAUAAGUAUUGUGAAUUGCAGAUUUUCGUGAAUCAUCGAAUCUUUGAACGCACAUUGCGCCCUGUGGUAUUCCGCAGGGCAUGCCUGUUUGAGCGUCAUUUCU
This 159-nucleotide ribosomal RNA is filed under the name Kuraishia ogatae. Its description in RNAcentral is "5.8S ribosomal RNA". It matches the Rfam family "5.8S ribosomal RNA". Rfam says of the family: 5.8S ribosomal RNA (5.8S rRNA) is a component of the large subunit of the eukaryotic ribosome. It is transcribed by RNA polymerase I as part of the 45S precursor that also contains 18S and 28S rRNA. The record is from RNAcentral. Lineage: Eukaryota; Fungi; Ascomycota; Pichiomycetes; Pichiales; Pichiaceae.